AAAACUUUCAACAACGGAUCUCUUGGUUCUGGCAUCGAUGAAGAACGCAGCGAAAUGCGAUAAGUAAUGUGAAUUGCAGAAUUCAGUGAAUCAUCGAAUCUUUGAACGCACAUUGCGCCCGCCAGUAUUCUGGCGGGCAUGCCUGUUCGAGCGUCAUUUCAACCCUCAGGGCCCCCCCUUCGCGGGGUCGGCGCCCUGGUGUUGGGG
RNAcentral lists this ribosomal RNA (207 nucleotides) under Rotiferophthora angustispora. RNAcentral describes it as "5.8S ribosomal RNA". The stretch from base 3 to 156 matches the Rfam family "5.8S ribosomal RNA". From Rfam's summary of the family: 5.8S ribosomal RNA (5.8S rRNA) is a component of the large subunit of the eukaryotic ribosome. It is transcribed by RNA polymerase I as part of the 45S precursor that also contains 18S and 28S rRNA. Functionally, it is thought that 5.8S rRNA may be involved in ribosome translocation. The record is from RNAcentral. Lineage: Eukaryota; Fungi; Ascomycota; Sordariomycetes; Hypocreales.